Molecule: ribosomal RNA, 465 nt
Filed under: uncultured bacterium
Lineage: Bacteria
Description: partial 16S ribosomal RNA
Rfam family: Bacterial small subunit ribosomal RNA
Source: RNAcentral
GACGAACGCUGGCGGCGUGCUUAACACAUGCAAGUCGAACGGAAAGGCCCCUUUGGGGGUACUCGAGUGGCGAACGGGUGAGUAACACGUGAGUAACCUGCCCUUGACUUCGGGAUAACUUCAGGAAACUGGGGCUAAUACCGGAUAGGAAUCCUUGCUGCAUGGUGGGGGUUGGAAAGCUUCGGCGGUUUUGGAUGGACUCGCGGCUUAUCAGCUUGUUGGUGGGGUAGUGGCUUACCAAGGCUUUGACGGGUAGCCGGCCUGAGAGGGCGACCGGCCACAUUGGGACUGGGAUACGGCCCAGACGCCUACGGGAAGCAGCAGUGGGGAAUAUUGCACAAUGGGCGGAAGCCUGAUGCAGCAACGCCGCGUGCGGGAUGACGGCCUUCGGGUUGUAAACCGCUUUCAGCAGGGGCGAAGCUUGUGGUGACGGUACCUGCAGAAGAAGCACCGGCUAACUACGUG